Molecule: ribosomal RNA, 253 nt
Filed under: uncultured bacterium
Lineage: Bacteria
Description: partial 16S ribosomal RNA
Rfam family: Bacterial small subunit ribosomal RNA
Source: RNAcentral
GACGGAAGGUGCAAGCGUUGCUCGGAAUCACUGGGCGUAAAGGGUGCGUAGGCGGCUUGGUAGGUCUGGUGUGAAAGCCCCGGGCUCAGCCCGGGAAGGGCACUAGAAACUGCCAAGCUAGAGUGCCGGAGGGGAGAGUGGAAUUCCUGGUGUAGCGGUGAAAUGCGCAGAUAUCAGGAGGAACACCAGCGGCGAAGGCGGCGCUCUGGGCCGGUACUGACGCUGAGGAGCGAAAGCGUGGGGAGCAAGCAGG